ACGCCGUCAGUGAAGUAGCAGAAGGGAGCGAGGGUGUCCCCCUGAAAUUGGCCCCGCUACGGCGGCGAGGAGCGCUGGCCGGGCACGCACCCCGCCGGUCUGCGCUGGGAUGAUGCUGGAGCAGGACACCGGCCUCUCCUUGGCCAUCGCGCAGAUCGUGCAGCGGCUGAAGGGCUCCAGCCUUCAUUCCCAGCUGGAGCGGCAGGCCCGGGGUAGUCUACACAAACCAGAAAUUAAACUUGAAUCACUAAAGGAAGAUAUUAAGGAAUUUCUGAAGACCUCAGGAUGGGAAAAGAGGCUUCAGAAUGCUGUUUAUAGUGAACUCAAUGUGUUCCCUUCACCCUGUCAUCCUGCAGCACCCCCUGAGCACAUAAAGGAACCCUUAGUUUACAUGAGGAAAGCACAGGGAAGCUGGGAGAAGCGAAUUCUGAAGAGUCUAAAUAGCAUGUGCACAGAACUCAGUAUCCCAUUAGCACGAAAGAGACCUAUAGGAGAGCAAAAAGAACUUCUUAAUAAAUGGAAUGAAAUGGGAACUGAUGAGCCAGAUCUAACUCUCUUCCGACCUGUUUAUGCACCUAAAGAUUUUCUUGAGGUACUGAUGAAUCUUCGCAACCCAAAUUAUGAAAAUGGUGAUCAGCCUAGUUUCAGAAAUCAUCUGGGUCUAAUUCAGGUUCCUCUAAAAGUUAAAGACAUCCCUGAACUGAAAGACUAUUUCAGUGAGCUAGGCUUGAAUACAGGACAGCUGGGUAUUGAUGAUUCUACACAAGUGCCUCCAGAACUCUUUGAAAAUGAACAUGUACGUGUUGGGCAAACAGUUUUAACAGAACAAGAUAGUGCUGCAGCCCAACAGUAUGUCCGUCAGGGAUGCCCAACAGCACUCCGAGCUGAACUGUGGACACUCAUUCUGAAUAUUUCUAAUCAGCCUGAAGACAUUUUGUACUACGAACAGCUGAAGUCCAAUGUGAUUCAGCAUGAUCUUUUAGUGGACAGCCUGAUUUACAAAGAUGUAAAGCUGACAGCAAGCAAUGAUGACUACUAUUUUGUAUUUGAGGAUUAUUUAUAUCAGGUACUGCUCUGUUUUUCCCGAGAUACAUCAGUACUGGAGCACUUUUCUUACAAUAGCGCUACUCCACCCAAAUCAUACAUACGAGGAAAACUUGGCAUGGAAGAAUAUGCAGUUUUUUAUCCACCAAAUGGUGUAAUUCCUUUUCACGGCUUUUCAAUGUAUGUUGCUCCACUUUGUUUUCUGUACCAUGAACCUUCCAAAUUGUAUCAGAUAUUCCGUGAGAUGUAUGUGCGUUUUUUCUUCAGACUCCAUUCCAUCUCUUCUCAUCCUUCUGGCAUUGUGUCACUAUGUUUGCUGUUUGAGACACUUCUUCAAACCCAUCUCCCUCAGCUCUUCUAUCAUCUUCGAGAAAUUGGGGCGCAACCACUACGAAUAUCGUUUAAAUGGAUGGUACGAGCAUUCUCUGGUUACUUAGCUACAGACCAGCUUCUGCUUUUGUGGGACAGAAUCCUAGGAUACAAUUCUCUAGAAAUUCUCGCUGUCCUGGCAGCUGCUGUGUUUGCUUUCCGAGCAGUGAACCUGAUGGAGGUGACAUCACUGGCUGCAGCUGAAGCAGUACUUGCUGACCUUUCAACCUUGAAGGUUAUGCCUCUUCUUCAGAUCUUCCUGUUUGCUACUGUCACUUGAUCUGCUUCAAGGUCACUGACACCGCGCAUCCAGUCUUUCAUUAGAAACUAAUAAUGAACUAUGCAACGUCUGCAUAAAACCAAAUUAAACUGUAUGUAUAUGUCACUUACAGAUCAUGUUCUCUUUACAGUUAAGUGUAAGUUUUUCUACAUAUAGAAUAAGAACUUUACACUCUAACCUGUGCAUUUGCAUGCUGCUGUAUUUCAACAUAACAGCAAUAGAUAUAACUGAUGAGGUAUGAGAAUCAUUACUUGUGCAUAUUAAUAACACAAAUCAAUGUAUAAAAUGCAAUAAAACAAAGGUAAUGCAGUUAAAUUCUUGAUCUAAUAUGAGUGCCAUAACAGAUCCACUAAUAUCAGAUUGGAAAAAACUGUUUUUCAUCUGAUUAUUACUUAUUCAAGCCCCCACUACAAGACUGUCAACUCAAGAGUACAGUAACACUUGAAGACGUGCUUUAACUUUUGGGAACUUUUAUGUAUUUCCUAGGAGAAAUCAGAAAUGCUUCUGUUCAAUUUCUGUUUUCCAGGAGUCCUCUUCGUGUUCUUCACCAUUUUAUUUAUUUCUUUUUAAUCUAUUGAUCCCCCACAGCCUUUCUAGAUGUCUAUCACUAAGUAUCAAAGGAUGAGAGUUUGAAAAGUGCCUAAGAGAGUCUUGCCUUGCAAAAAGUACUGGAUAUAGCUUCCUCCAGAACUUGUCAAAGCCUGGCUUUAGCGUGGAUGCGUUAUGAAGAUGGCAGUUCUUUCUUAUCCCCUAUCCCACACACCCUUUUCAAGAUCUGUAUGUGUGUGGCCUCUGCUGGUCCAAGAGCUCAGGCUUCAAUUCAGCAUCCAGCUCAGAUCCCUGCAUGACUGUGUAUUGCACUGUAACUAGACCACCAGGUGGCCCAUCUUCUAUUGAUUAUAAUUUCUUUUUAUGGUUUUUUCCAGGGAUUCUGAAAUACUAAAGAGAAUCAUUAGGAUUAAUUUAUUACUUUAUUUUAAUACCUAAUAAAGGAUUAUAGUUAAAAUUGAGUGAAGUGUAUAACAUUGCAUACCCCAUGCAUUCACCGUAUCACUUUAUUUUGGAACAGUUUCUACUUUUCAAAUACAGUAUGGAUGUGUGUGGAACAUGACCCUCUGUAUUUUAAGAGAGAUCCAGCUUCCAUUUACACUAGACUGUUAUCUACAUUAUUAAUAUACAGCAUUAACAAUGCAAAUAUUAGCUUUAUAUAGACCCCAAAAAACAUACUUAUACCUUGCAUAUAAAUUGGGCAUGCUGAAUGUCUGACAGUAAGGCUAUGUCUACACAGCAAUGUGAGCCCGAGCUUAAGUCUCAUCCCCUUGCAUCCACACACUAAUUGUGUUAACCUAGGGCUCAAACCUAGUGUCCCAGGACUCUGCAGGGCUGGAGGGUCUGAGCCUAUGUUAAGCUGAGAUCUAGUGUCCGAACCCUAUUGCUUUCCUGUAUGCACAUAGCCUUGGUCUGACUCGAAUCCUGGAAGUCCUCUGGAUGUAUUCCAGAGAUCCUUAGGGCAACUUCCUUAGUCCUUUCUCUGCUGACAGUCUGUGGUGCAGUCUAGUGCAAACGGAAGCCACACCUCCCUUUGUCAGUUUGAGUACAUUGACACUUCCCUUAUGAUUAUGGCCAUGCAGUCAAUCUCAAAGCAAACAUCUAACAAAAGAGUUAAUUACAAUUAUAUGAAAUUACAUAGUUUAAAAUAGUAGUAUUGCAGAAGACUAGGACCUGGCAUGUGAAUUGAAAGCUGACGAUAUUUUUCAAUGGACACACAAUUUGUGCAAGACAAAGAGUGUGGCUAAUUUUUAUGCUUUGUAUUUUUUUUUAAAUAAAUAUGUUGGAUCUCUUUAUAUACCUACUGAUUAGGACACAAAUUAGAUUUUGGCAAGCAAGGGCUCAAUGAAAGCUCUGGGAUUUACUAAUGUCUCUAUAGUUAGUUUUAUCCAGCAGAUUUGGUGGUUCUUAGAAAGAAGUAUUUUGUACUUAUAUGGCACUUUUCAUCUGAAAAUCUGAAACCGGGAUUAGUUAUAGUUCCUAAGACCCCUUACUAAUGUUAAAUCAGUACAAAUGAACUAUAGAUAGCAGUGGUAUUUAAUUGUUUUCUAUCUGUACAGAAUUGUGUCCUAACUUUUUUGUAACUAGUGACAUGGUAUUUUCCUCUUUCUACUUUCUUUAGAUGCUUUUAGGUCCAAAAAAUAAAAAAAGUUGCCUUGAA
This is an RNA transcript of Gopherus flavomarginatus (Mexican gopher tortoise), 3902 nucleotides long. It is a transcript of the gene named TBC1 domain family member 19, with no coding region annotated. NCBI's taxonomy places the organism in Eukaryota, Metazoa, Chordata, Testudines, Testudinidae. The transcript is spliced from 22 exons. The record is from RefSeq and is a predicted model, not a curated record.